This is a long non-coding RNA of Felis catus (domestic cat), 2197 nucleotides long. RefSeq lists it as uncharacterized. Lineage: Eukaryota; Metazoa; Chordata; Mammalia; Carnivora; Felidae. The transcript is spliced from 3 exons. The record is from RefSeq and is a predicted model, not a curated record.
CAUGACCUGAGCCGAAGUCGGACGCUUAACCGACUGAGCCACUCAGGCGCCCAGUAAGAACUAACGAUAAAAAAAUGAAAUCAACCCGUAGGCUUUCGAACCAGUUGGUGGAGGUGGAAGACAGGGAGACUGUGCAAGUAUGCCAGCAAAUGGAAGGUUCCGGAUUCAGCACAUGGAUUCCAAAUUGUAGCUAUAAACAGAGCAACUCAUAAACCCUGUACCAUGACUACUGGGCUCAUGAGCAGAGCCCCCCCACGCUUCACUUGGGCCAUCAAGAAAACCCAAGGUGCCCAGCUUCCUGCCUCAGCUACAGCCAGCCCUCCACCAGCUGUCAAGGAGCCUCGUGUUCCUUGUCUCCCGAGAAGUGGCUGGUUCUCGCCUCGUCCGCCAUGCUCUCUGUAAACUGCAAGAUAGAACAACGGCCUGGUGGCUCCCUAACCGGAUACAUUAAAUCAGCCUUCCCCUUAGAGAUCAUCGUACAGAUCCCUUCAGGAUUCACGAACGCUUCACCUCACUCACCAACAGCAGCCCGUGCCCUAUGUCAUCAACAUACGAUGUCAUUACAGAAGGCCCUAAUCCAAUGACUGAUGUCCUUACAAGGAAACGGAAAGAUCACCUGAAGACAGAGACACGGGGAGAGGACCACAUGAAGACAGGUCAGAGAUGGGAGUGCUAUAUCUACCAGCCAAGGAUCACGGGUGAUUUCUGGUGACCACCAGAAGCUAGAAAGGAAGGAUCCUCCCCUAGAGCCCUCAGAGGGAGUAUCGCCCUGCUGAUAGCUUGACUUUAGACCUCUGGCCUCCAGAACUGACAGACAAUAAACUCCUGUUGUUUUAAGCCCCCCAGUUUCUGGCAAUUUGUGACAAUAACCCUAGAAAAUGAACACACCCACUAAAUUCAAGUCACAUUGACGUCUUUGGGUUCCCUAAAUACACCAAGCUUAUCUCUGACCUACGGGUUCUGUUCUAACAUUUUUCUUUGCCCAGAAUGUUCUUCUUCCUGUCUUUAUAUGACCCGUUCCUGUGUGUCAUUCAGCUCUUAAACGUCACCUCCGCUGUCACCGAGCACUCAACCUAAGAGAGCCACCCCGUCACUCUUACACCAACCUAUUUUAGUAAUUUGCGUAACUGACAGCCAGCUAGCUUUUACAUGAUUACAUAUCGUCCGCGUCCCUCCGAGUAACAUGCACCCCAUGAAAACAGUGACCUUGCCUAUCUUACUGCUAUCUCCCAAGUGCCCAGACAGCGCUUUGUACUUAGUAGUAAGUAGAGCACAGACUAUGCCGGUUUACCCAGGACUGUCCUGGUUUUAAGCCUUAGAGUCUUGUGUCCUGGAAGGCCUGCGGGUCCCAGGAAAGCUGGGAUGUCUCAUCACCCUACUAGCAGACAUUGUCAAUCCAAUAACCGACACACUGGAAACUGAGGGGAUGAACGGACCUUUUAAAGAAAUGAAGUCCUUCCUCUCUAAAAUCGUACAUGAUGGGUGUAGUUGAGCAGAUCAGUCGCAAGGUGGCACUAGACUACUAGAUUUAUUAACAUGCCAACUUUCAUUGAGGUCUAGUCGUGGUGAGGUAGCAUUACAUUCCAAAAUGUGAGGACAGUCAGCUGUUUUUCUAGAACUGUUAGAGUCUUCUCUAAGACUGAAGUAUAGAAGUAUACACCUCUGAAGUAUUUUUCAUUCCUGUGUAUGUUCCUGACAACCAUUGAAUUUUUCCACGUAGAAAAAAGAGAAAUUUAUAAAUACUAGGACCGAUUUGCAUUUCAAAUGUUAUUUCUGAAACUUCUGUCACACUAACAUGAAAAAUAUACAUUUGGAUGGAUAAAAUUGUGAUUACCGUCACAUCUUUUAUCCGGGGAUUUAAAAUAUAGCAAGUGUAGGGGGUAGAGCUCAGUGGUAGAGCAUUUGACUGCAAAUAUAGCAAGUAUUUAUGUGACAACCUAAAGAUUUUGAUAGCUGCAGAAAAAAAAAUCAGUUUUCCAGAAAAAUCUAAUAUCAGAAAUGUACCAAGAGAAAGCUUUCCUCAAGUUUAUAGAUUUUAGGUAAGAGAUAAUACCAACUGAGUUUCAUUUUCUACCAGUGGCUCAUAGUCACCAAGUCCAAAGAGUUUUCACCUCAAGAAUUCUUGUUUGUAGUCAAGAUUUAUUGCUCGGAUUACUCCAGAAGUUAACAUUUGCUCCAGGGAAUAGUUUCUAGAAUA